Molecule: non-coding RNA, 72 nt
Organism: Spironucleus salmonicida
Lineage: Eukaryota; Fornicata; Diplomonadida; Hexamitidae
Source: Rfam
UCCCAAAUGGUAUAACGGUUAGCAUUUCUGGUUUUCACCCAGGAGAUCCGGGUUCGAUUCCCGGUUUGGGAG